GACGAACGCUGGCGGCGUGCUUAACACAUGCAAGUCGAACGAUGAAAGCGGAGCUUGCUCCGCUGGAUUAGUGGCGAACGGGUGAGUAACACGUGGGCAACCUGCUCCAGACUCUGGGAUAACUCCUCGAAAGAGGUGCUAAUACCGGAUACGAACUCCUUGGGCAUCCUUGGAGCUGGAAAGUUUUUCGGUCUGGGAUGGGCCCGCGGCCUGUCAGCUUGUUGGUGGGGUAGUGGCCCACCAAGGCGACGACGGGUAGCCGGCCUGAGAGGGCGACCGGCCACACUGGGACUGAGACACGGCCCAGACUCCUACGGGAGGCAGCAGUGGGGAACAUUGCGCAAUGGGCGAAAGCCUGACGCAGCGACGCCGCGUGAGGGAUGACGGCCUUCGGGUUGUAAACCUCUUUCAGCAGGGAAGAAGCGAAAGUGACGGUACCUGCAGAAGAAGCACCGGCCAACUACGUGCCAGCCGCCGCAGUAA
This 483-nucleotide ribosomal RNA is filed under the name uncultured bacterium. RNAcentral describes it as "partial 16S ribosomal RNA". It matches the Rfam family "Bacterial small subunit ribosomal RNA", at positions 28 to 523 of the family's 1533-position model. The record is from RNAcentral.